CUUGUUUGUUUUCAUCUUGUUUCAUCAUUUUUUAUUUUUUGGUUUUCAUUUUCCUUUUUUUUCAAUCAUCCAACUAAAAAGCCAGAAGAGGGCUUAAAGAGGGCUCAAACUAUGCACCGUUUCUAUAGCCAACACAUUAGACCAGAGCCGGACUUUUUCUUCUUCUUCUUUUCUUUCUACGUUUUAGCAUUUAAGUGACAAAAAGGUUGCUCACUGUUACUAUCUACCUCUCCUACCCAUUAUUGUUUAUG
Molecule: non-coding RNA, 251 nt
Filed under: Heterosigma akashiwo
Lineage: Eukaryota; Raphidophyceae; Chattonellales; Chattonellaceae
Source: RNAcentral